UACGUAGGGGGCAAGCGUUAUCCGGAAUUACUGGGUGUAAAGGGUGAGUAGGCGGCAUGGUAAGCCAGAUGUGAAAGCCUUGGGCUUAACCCGAGGAUUGCAUUUGGAACUAUCAAGCUAGAGUACAGGAGAGGAAAGCGGAAUACCUAGUGUAGCGGUGAAAUGCGUAGAUAUUAGGAAGAACACCAGUGGCGAAGGCGGCUUUCUGGACUGAAACUGACGCUGAGGCACGAAAGCGUGGGGAGCGAACAGG
RNAcentral lists this ribosomal RNA (253 nucleotides) under uncultured bacterium. Its description in RNAcentral is "partial 16S ribosomal RNA". It matches the Rfam family "Bacterial small subunit ribosomal RNA", at positions 524 to 776 of the family's 1533-position model. The record is from RNAcentral.